UACGUCAACAUCCUUAACGAAUUUAACCCGUUCUAACCUAUUAACCAUCGACUUUGAUAACCGUAAGCACGCUUUCGGCACCAGAGCAACGAUCAGAGAUCAGACAAGUAGCCCCGAAGGGUAUCCGUUGCAAUCCUCAAUCCCGAUAAUCACAUCUACCAAAGGCUAUAACACUUCAAUACGAGAUCGAAGUUACAUUCCUCCAGUCAUUUUAUGACGACCAAAAUUGAUGUUAACUUACCACACGAAUAAGUACACCCCAAGUACACGAAUAUACAGGCAUGAAGGCGAUUAGCUCCUCACGCUCCACAAAAUCGCAUCCUAAAGGCUGAUUAUCCGCAGGUACGACUGGCUUCAAUCGUUUCCCUUUCAACAAUUUCACGUACUAUUUAACUCUCUUUUCAAAGUUCUUUUCAUCUUUCCCUCACGGUACUUGUUCGCUAUCGGUCUCUCGCCGAUAUUUAGCCUUAGGAGAAAUUUACCUCCCAUUUUGAGCUGCAAUCCCAAACAACUCGACUCUUAGAGAGCGUAUCGUAGAGCGUCAUAAGGUCAACCGAACGGGAUUCUCACCCUCCAUGAUACCUUAUCCCAAAGGAUUUGGGCCAACCAAGACGCAGAAAACGCUUCUUCAAAUUACAAUUCUGAUAAGUAAAACCUAGCAGAUUUAAAAUUUGAGCUUUUCCCCCUUCACUCGCCGUUACUAAGGGAAUCAUUGUUAUUUUCUUUUCCUCCGCUUAUUGAUAUCG
RNAcentral lists this ribosomal RNA (746 nucleotides) under uncultured Glomus. Its description in RNAcentral is "partial 28S ribosomal RNA". Lineage: Eukaryota; Fungi; Glomeromycota; Glomeromycetes; Glomerales; Glomeraceae. The record is from RNAcentral.